Long non-coding RNA from Rhodamnia argentea, 398 nucleotides. RefSeq lists it as uncharacterized. The record is from RefSeq and is a predicted model, not a curated record. Lineage: Eukaryota; Viridiplantae; Streptophyta; Magnoliopsida; Myrtales; Myrtaceae. The transcript is spliced from 2 exons.
GAUCGGCGUGGUAGUUGUAUAUUCUUUGCUCAGCACAAGCGGAUUUGAAGACUGACAGAGAAGUAGUGAGAGGCCAGUCCCAGUUCUUCUGAUCUCCAAGUCCUGUUUAAAUGCCAAAGCAGAAAGUAUCGAUUAUCUGUCUGCAACAAUCAAGUGGGCAAGAAACUGUCGCUCCUCAAUGAAAGAAUAGGAAUUGUUUCCUUCUAGUUGUAUAUGAAGUCCUUAUGGUUGCUUUGUAUGAAGUAGGAGUAGUCCAUGAAAGUGUCUUACCUUCAAAUUGCUGACUACUGAAGAAGCGGAAGUUCCUUGAAACUGGUCUCUAGCAUGUAGAGAGCGAUCUAUGAUCCAGAAGUGCUCAUAUAUCUCAUCUGCCAACCGUUUUCGAUCCUUUACAGCCU